Molecule: ribosomal RNA, 635 nt
Filed under: Salmonella enterica
Lineage: Bacteria; Pseudomonadati; Pseudomonadota; Gammaproteobacteria; Enterobacterales; Enterobacteriaceae
Description: partial 23S ribosomal RNA
Rfam family: Bacterial large subunit ribosomal RNA
Source: RNAcentral
GGUUAAGCGACUAAGCGUACACGGUGGAUGCCCUGGCAGUCAGAGGCGAUGAAGGGCGUGCUAAUCUGCGAUAAGCGCCGGUAAGGUGAUAUGAACCGUUAUAACCGGCGAUACCCGAAUGGGGAAACCCAGUGUGACUCGUCACACUAUCAUUAACUGAAUCCAUAGGUUAAUGAGGCGAACCGGGGGAACUGAAACAUCUAAGUACCCCGAGGAAAAGAAAUCAACCGAGAUUCCCCCAGUAGCGGCGAGCGAACGGGGAGGAGCCCAGAGCCUGAAUCAGCAUAUGUGUUAGUGGAAGCGUCUGGAAAGGCGCGCGAUACAGGGUGACAGCCCCGUACACAAAAGCGCAUGUGCUGUGAGCUCGAUGAGUAGGGCGGGACACGUGGUAUCCUGUCUGAAUAUGGGGGGACCAUCCUCCAAGGCUAAAUACUCCUGACUGACCGAUAGUGAACCAGUACCGUGAGGGAAAGGCGAAAAGAACCCCGGCGAGGGGAGUGAAAAAGAACCUGAAACCGUGUACGUACAAGCAGUGGGAGCACCCUUUGGGGUGUGACUGCGUACCUUUUGUAUAAUGGGUCAGCGACUUAUAUUCUGUAGCAAGGUUAACCGAAUAGGGGAGCCGGAGGGAAACC